AUGAACGCUGGCGGCGUGCCUAAUACAUGCAAGUCGAGCGAACGGACGAGAAGCUUGCUUUUCUGAUGUUAGCGGCGGACGGGUGAGUAACACGUGGAUAACCUACCUAUAAGACUGGGAUAACUUCGGGAAACCGGAGCUAAUAUCGGAUAAUAUUUUGAACCGCAUGGUUCAAAAGUGAAAGACGGUCUUGCUGUCACUUAUAGAUGGAUCCGCGCUGCAUUAGCUAGUUGGUAAGGUAACGGCUUACCAAGGCAACGAUGCAUAGCCGACCUGAGAGGGUGAUCGGCCACACUGGAACUGAGACACGGUCCAGACUCCUACGGGAGGCAGCAGUAGGGAAUCUUCCGCAAUGGGCGAAAGCCUGACGGAGCAACGCCGCGUGAGUGAUGAAGGUCUUCGGAUCGUAAAACUCUGUUAUUAGGGAAGAACAUAUGUGUAAGUAACUGUGCACAUCUUGACGGUACCUAAUCAGAAAGCCACGGCUAACUACGUG
This 496-nucleotide ribosomal RNA is filed under the name uncultured bacterium. Its description in RNAcentral is "partial 16S ribosomal RNA". It matches the Rfam family "Bacterial small subunit ribosomal RNA", at positions 29 to 507 of the family's 1533-position model. The record is from RNAcentral.